GGAAGGUGGGGUAGAGGAGGCUGCGGCUGCAACCGUUCAUGCGGCGGCCGUGCAAGGUAGGGGGCUCGAGCGCUGCGGUGAGAACGGCGGCCAUGAUACGGAGACGACGACGGAGAGGAAGGGUGGGCAGGGCGGAGGGUUCAAGUUUUAAAGACAGUUUCAAGUUUAGGCGCGCGGGUCAAGGUUGAGAGGUCUUUGGUGAGGAUGUCGGGUUAUAUUUAUUCACCCGUCCGUAUACCCUGAGUGCGACGAGUUUGAUGUGGGGGUUCUUCAGUGUGUAACCAGUGCGUUUGGAAGUCUAACUUCCCUCACACUCCUUCACACUAAGUGAAGAGAAGCGGUAGAUUAGAAGAAGCAGUUCCCGUUCCGGUCCGCGAAGCGGAAAGUCGAUACCUCACCGCACCAUAAGGUACCCUCCAAAAACACCGGGUACAAAGUGCGUACUACCGGUAUGUAUUUUUUUUUUGAGUAAGAUCGAAGGGGGCAGACUUAUGACAUAGUCAUCGUCAACCUUUUCAUGACUUACUAUGUGUAGAAUAUAUUGACUGAGGUUGUAGGACCUAAUAAAUAUAGGUUAGACUGACGUCAAAAAUACGUAAAGUAUAGAAUAAAGUAGAUUAGUCACACGUCAAACUUACGUAAUAAAACAUCGGUUCAGGUUGUCUUGAACGAGGUCACCGUACGGUUCACGAGUAUGUUCAGAUAAAUAUGCGCUCGGUUGUCUAUACUGUUCAAGUUCAGUGAGCAGAAACCUGCUACUUCACUGUUUGCUUAGUAGAUGCUAAAAGGGAAGAUUACCGUACGAGUAUAGUUGACUCCCGAACCUCACGCCUCUUUCGAGUUUUCCCGCUUUCGCACGUGCACUUCGUUAUUCUAUACGAUCGGCAUGUGGUCUUGUUUAGGUUCGUUCCGCUCUUGCACAAUCUCGUGCAGCCGUUUUAAAUUGUGGACGACUCUUCUUUUUCUAAUUACGUGUUUCUUCUCUUUUUUCUGUUGCUUACCGUGUACUACUCUCCUUACGUUCGGUUGCUGGUACAUCCGUUUCAAACUGUAAUCUACUCUCCACUCGUCUACCUACUACACUCUCGAGGUUUCGAUUAUAACAACCGUAUUUACAAAACUCGUUUGUUGAUGUCUUCUCAUAUGAUACGACUCUUUACUGAAGUACCGGACUAUUUACGGAUUCCUCGAGACGGAAAAGUAAUAUGACAUGUUUUGACGGCCUUCGUCGUCGGCCUUUACUAAUGUUAUUCCUUCUUUUUCCCUUUUAUCCGACUUCGGUUUCCGUAGGUCGGUACGGUGGGAGUCCGAUGAUGAGGGGACGGAGGAAUUCCUCCGGCUAGCGUAGAGAACGUUCUUCGUCGUGUCGUCUUUAUCUCGAACUGCUCCGGAACUUUUGAGACAAGAAAGAGAGUUAGGUUUCCACGGUACGUUAUAUGUGACGGCGGCACGUAAGUAGCCAUCGUAACGGAAAGAAGAAGUCCGAAAAUAGGAUAGUUUCCUUUCUUCGUCAAGACAACAUCACCAAGAUUCCGAUCUGUACUAUUAUACAUAACCUCUAACGACCGGCACGGCCACUAAACCCUCUAGACCACUCUCGCCAGUAGUGUAAAUAGCGUUAAGUCUCAAUAGCAGACACUGUGAGUGUCCGGAACGUAAACUGCUUCGGUGAUAAACUUCCUACGACUGUGUACCGUGUAGUAGAGAUAAAAAACGGUAUCAUUAGAACGAAUGACUCGGGUUAAUAAAACCAACAUGAACAUACAUUAGAGAAUACAUACGUUCAAUACGUGGUUCACGAACACUAACACAAUAGAAAAGAGUACACUCAAAAGUACUGACCAAUGACUUACACUAUACAAACACUCCACUAAUUACAGAAUGGUAAAGA
This 1891-nucleotide ribosomal RNA is filed under the name Triticum aestivum (bread wheat). RNAcentral's name for it is "partial small subunit ribosomal RNA". Lineage: Eukaryota; Viridiplantae; Streptophyta; Magnoliopsida; Poales; Poaceae. The record is from RNAcentral.